GACGAACGCUGGCGGCGUGCUUAACACAUGCAAGUCGAACGGAAAGGCCCUGCUUUUGUGGGGUGCUCGAGUGGCGAACGGGUGAGUAACACGUGAGUAACCUGCCCUUGACUUUGGGAUAACUUCAGGAAACUGGGGCUACUACCGGAUAGGAGCUCCUGCUGCAUGGUGGGGGUUGGAAAGUUUCGGCGGUUGGGGAUGGACUCGCGGCUUAUCAGCUUGUUGGUGGGGUAGUGGCUUACCAAGGCUUUGACGGGUAGCCGGCCUGAGAGGGUGACCGGCCACAUUGGGACUGAGAGACGGCCCAGACUCCUACGGGAGGCAGCAGGGGGGAAUAUUGCACAAUGGGCGGAAGCCUGAUGCAGCAACGCCGCGUGCGGGAUGACGGCCUUCGGGUUGUAAACCGCUUUCGCCUGUGACGAAGCGUGAGUGACGGUAAUGGGUAAAGAAGCACCGGCUAACUACGUG
RNAcentral lists this ribosomal RNA (468 nucleotides) under uncultured bacterium. RNAcentral's name for it is "partial 16S ribosomal RNA". It matches the Rfam family "Bacterial small subunit ribosomal RNA", at positions 28 to 507 of the family's 1533-position model. The record is from RNAcentral.